Molecule: unclassified non-coding RNA, 1901 nt
Organism: Acanthaster planci (crown-of-thorns starfish)
Lineage: Eukaryota; Metazoa; Echinodermata; Asteroidea; Valvatida; Acanthasteridae
Source: RefSeq, a predicted model, not a curated record
GCCAAGCAUUCAAGUGUGGCCAUGCAUGAAGAAGUACACAUACAGGAUGAGCUUACAAAAUAAGUAGGAUGCUACGGGGGAGAACUGCAAACUAAAAUUGAUGAAGAAUUCAAGGGAAAAAUUGCAGGGAACUUACUAGCUGGAACUUACUUAAUCUUCGUGGUGCUUGUGCACACUGCUGCAUGACAGGGCCUAUUUCACGCACGCCAAUCACCAGCGCUGUUUGAUCCCCUGUUUGGUACCCUGCUCAAUAUGUGUGGAAGUUGAUCGACGACCAGUUUUCCACGAUGGCGCGGGCAUUAUUAGCAUUACAAUGCCUGUGUACGAGAACGCCUGUGUGGCUACGUUGGCGGGUUUGUUCAAAUGCGACUUCACAGGAGGUGAGUUUAAAGCUGUAAUGGAGAGACGAGGAACACUCCUGUGAGACCGUUUUCUGGAUUGUUCCACAUCUGAGAUAUAUUCUGACACUUUAUUGUACUCAGCAAGGUAUGGAAACAGCUCACGUUAUACAAACACUGGAGGCCUAGCCUACCUCUGAUAACAUCCCAACAGUAAAUGGGUCGUAGAGUGGAAUGCCAGUUAGCUUUUGUGAUGGAAAUGAGACAUUUGCUGGAUUGUUUUCUAGAGCACAAGCCGCUGGUGAAUCGUUGCUUACAGGACGACCAGCUUCUUGGCAUUUCUUGAUGACGGCCACUGUUGUUAAGACUUUGAUCUCCUGUCUUGGCCUUCAGUUGGACCGAGAGAGAACACUAUUUCCUUGGCAUCAGAGGCUCCUUUGGUACUUUGGUACUGUGCAUCACUGGUUCAUGAACAACUAUGACAUGUUUCCCUAGUUUCAGUAGUUUGACAGAGAGACAAGAGCAAGCUGGUCCCUGGAGGCCGUUCUCUGGAGUGUAACAAAUCAGAGAAAUCUCAUCACUGGUGACACUACUCAACAGGCUGGCCUCUUCCAUACACCCCAAGGGUUCAACAGUGGCUGGGAAAUAUGAUUCAGAGCACAAGCCACUCAUGGUACAUCCAGUUUUUUGAUUAUGGAGUUCCUGUGCUCGUUGUUGAGGUGAUUGGUACUUUGAUCUCUUACUGUUGCCUUCUGGGUAAAAGCUGUAGCAUUGAUGAAGAGACAAGACCAGGUCCCUUGGAGACAGUUUUCUGGAGUUUAACACAUCACUGGCAACUGGCAUUACUGACAACACGACUCACUCGUACCACAAUUAUGGCCAAGAUUUGGACUCUAGCACCGUGCUUAUCUGUUCUACUAGUUAGUCUUCUGCUGCUGGUUGAACAGUGAUACGCUCCAUGCUGUGACAUGCUCAACCUCUCUCAUCAUUUUCUUAUCUUGUCUGUUCUGGAAUAGCAUGAAUAAAUUCAGGGUGCAGUAUCUGUUGUAUACGUGCACUGAGCCUUUUAUGGGCAAUAAAAGUAACAACAGCAUGAUUUUGAUUCCCUCAAGAUAACAGAACUGGUUAUUUGCAACUGUUGCAGUGACCGUUUGUCUUGUGUUGGCAGCAAAAGGUUUUGUUGAAAGGUUCCUACUUUGCAUGGUUUUUCUGUACCAUCUGGUGUACCUCAAGGAAGUGUCUUGAGCCCAGUCCAGUUCUUAUGUAUACAAACGACUUUCCUGAUCGCAUCGUGUCAGCUAGCACUUUAUUUGGCAACAGUGCUCUUGUGUAUAGGCCAAUAUAAUGUCAGUUUGAUGACCUUCAAGAUAUUCAUGACUUCCAAAGAUGUUGUCAUGCUAAUAAAAUGCAUCUCAAUACAUUACAAAGGAAACCAAAGUUUUGCUUAUACUAGGAUGGUCAAAGAAAAUAGUGGACCUGAAAUGUACCUUAGUUAACAUGCAGGUUGAAGCUGAUAAUGAGUACAAAAUUUCUCGGGAAAAUCUUGUUAUGCCACUACCAAAU